CGCUGGCGGCGUGCCUAAUACAUGCAAGUCGAACGGUCUUUCUAUGGAAGCUUGCUUCCACUGAGAAGAUAGUGGCGAACGGGUGAGUAACACGUGGGUAACCUGCCCAUAAGAGGGGGAUAACAUCCGGAAACGGGUGCUAAUACCGCAUAGUUUCCUUGAUCGCAUGAUCGGGAAAGGAAAGACGGCCUUUGUGCUGUCGCUUAUGGAUGGACCCGCGGCGUAUUAGUUAGUUGGUGAGGUAACGGCUCACCAAGACGAUGAUACGUAGCCGACCUGAGAGGGUGAUCGGCCACAUUGGGACUGAGACACGGCCCAAACUCCUACGGGAGGCAGCAGUAGGGAAUCUUCCGCAAUGGACGAAAGUCUGACGGAGCAACGCCGCGUGAGUGAAGAAGGUUUUCGGAAUCGUAAAACUCUGUUGUCAGAGAAGAACAAGUUGGAGAGUAACUGCUCCAGCCUUGACGGUAUCUGACCAGAAAGCCACGGCUAACUACGUGCCAGCAGCUGC
Molecule: ribosomal RNA, 511 nt
Filed under: uncultured bacterium
Lineage: Bacteria
Description: bacterial SSU rRNA
Rfam family: Bacterial small subunit ribosomal RNA
Source: RNAcentral